Molecule: ribosomal RNA, 312 nt
Filed under: uncultured Scutellospora
Lineage: Eukaryota; Fungi; Glomeromycota; Glomeromycetes; Diversisporales; Gigasporaceae
Description: SSU rRNA
Rfam family: Eukaryotic small subunit ribosomal RNA
Source: RNAcentral
AGCAGCCGCGGUAAUUCCAGCUCCAAUAGCGUAUAUUAAAGUUGUUGCAGUUAAAAAGCUCGUAGUUGAAUUUCGGGGUUCUACCGUCGGUCGGGCUAACAAGUCUGUACUGGUGUGUAGAAUUUCUACCUUCUGGGGAACUAUCAUGUUAUUAAUUUAGCGUGGUGGGAAACCAGGACCUUUACCUUGAAAAAAUUAGAGUGUUCAAAGCAGGCUUACGUCUGAAUACAUUAGCAUGGAAUAAUAGAAUAGGACGGUGGUCCUGUUUUGUUGGUUUCUGAAUCACCGUAAUGAUUAAUAGGGAUAGUUGGG